UACGGGGGGGGCAAGCGUUGUUCGGAAUUACUGGGCGUAAAGGGCCAGUAGGCGGCCAACUAAGUCCGACGUGAAAUCCCAAGGCUUAACCUUGGAACUGCGUCGGAUACUGGAUGGCUUGAAUUCGGGAGAGGGAUGCAGAAUUCCAGGUGUAGCGGUGAAAUGCGUAGAUAUCUGGAGGAAUACCGGUGGCGAAGGCGGCAUCCUGGACUGGUCCUGACACUCAGGAGCGAAAGCGUGGGGAGCGAUCCGG
This 253-nucleotide ribosomal RNA is filed under the name uncultured bacterium. RNAcentral's name for it is "partial 16S ribosomal RNA". It matches the Rfam family "Bacterial small subunit ribosomal RNA", at positions 524 to 776 of the family's 1533-position model. The record is from RNAcentral.